RNAcentral lists this unclassified non-coding RNA (203 nucleotides) under Mycoplasmopsis agalactiae. RNAcentral describes it as "Mycoplasma agalactiae partial 16S-23S ribosomal RNA intergenic spacer". The stretch from base 1 to 79 matches the Rfam family "Bacterial small subunit ribosomal RNA", at positions 1455 to 1533 of the family's 1533-position model. Lineage: Bacteria; Bacillati; Mycoplasmatota; Mycoplasmoidales; Metamycoplasmataceae. The record is from RNAcentral.
GCCUAAGGCAGGACUGGUGACUGGGGUUAAGUCGUAACAAGGUAUCCCUACGAGAACGUGGGGAUGGAUUACCUCCUUUCUACGGAGUACACUUGUCUUUUAAUACUAUAAAAAGACUUAUAACCAAAAUCAAUAGACCUGUUUUAUUUAAUAUUGUCAUGGCUUUUAUUAAUAGGUCAAAAGCUAUAUAUCUAGUUUUGAGA